RNAcentral lists this ribosomal RNA (485 nucleotides) under uncultured bacterium. Its description in RNAcentral is "partial 16S ribosomal RNA". It matches the Rfam family "Bacterial small subunit ribosomal RNA", at positions 30 to 507 of the family's 1533-position model. The record is from RNAcentral.
UUGCACGCUGGCGGCAUGCCUUACACAUGCAGGUCGAACGGCAGCACGGGUGCUUGCCCCUGGUGGCGAGUGGCGAACGGGUGAGUAAUACAUCGGAACAUGUCCUGUAGUGGGGGAUAGCCCGGCGAAAGCCGGAUUAAUACCGCAUACGAUCUACGGAUGAAAGCGGGGGACCUUCGGGCCUCGCGCUAUAGGGUUGGCCGAUGGCUGAUUAGCUAGUUGGUGGGGUAAAGGCCUACCAAGGCGACGAUCAGUAGAUGGUCUGAGAGGACGACCAGCCACACUGGGACUGAGACACGGCCCAGACUCCUACGGGAGGCAGCAGUGGGGAAUUUUGGACAAUGGGCGAAAGCCUGAUCCAGCAAUGCCGCGUGUGUGAAGAAGGCCUUCGGGUUGUAAAGCACUUUUGUCCGGAAAGAAAUCCUUGGCUCUAAUACAGUCGGGGGAUGACGGUACCGGAAGAAUAAGCACCGGCUAACUACGUG